GACGAACGCUGGCGGCGUGCUUAACACAUGCAAGUCGAACGGAAAGGCCCUGCUUUUGUGGGGUGCUCGAGUGGCGAACGGGUGAGUAACACGUGAGUAACCUGCCCUUGACUUUGGGAUAACUUCAGGAAACUGGGGCUAAUACCGGAUAGGAGCUCCUGCUGCAUGGUGGGGGUUAGAAAGUUUCGGCGGUUGGGGAUGGACUCGCGGCUGAUCAGCUUGUUGGUGGGGGAGUGGCUUACCAAGGCUUUGACGGGUAGCCGGCCUGGGAGGGUGACCGGCCACAUUGGGACUGAGGUACGGCCCAGACUCCUACGGGAGGCAGCAGUGGGGAAUAUUGCACAAUGGGCGGAAGCCUGAUGCAGCAACGCCGCGUGCGGGAUGACGGCCUUCGGGUUGUAAACCGCUUUCGCCUGUGACGAAGCGUGAGUGACGGUAAUGGGUAAAGAAGCACCGGCUAACUACGUG
RNAcentral lists this ribosomal RNA (468 nucleotides) under uncultured bacterium. Its description in RNAcentral is "partial 16S ribosomal RNA". It matches the Rfam family "Bacterial small subunit ribosomal RNA", at positions 28 to 507 of the family's 1533-position model. The record is from RNAcentral.